Molecule: unclassified non-coding RNA, 389 nt
Filed under: Xanthophytum borneense
Lineage: Eukaryota; Viridiplantae; Streptophyta; Magnoliopsida; Gentianales; Rubiaceae
Description: partial external transcribed spacer
Source: RNAcentral
GGUACCAUUCUUCAUUGCCCCCACCAUGCCAGAUGAAUUGUUAAUUUCCUUUAAUUUUAGCAACCCCCUUAAUCCACCCUUGGACUUGGUUCUUUGGAAGGGAAUUACGUUAUUUUUAGGCAAAAAAGGGCCGUUCACCCCGUACCCAUUAGGUAUUCCGCAUCCGAGAGCUCGAGCAAUAACUCACGUGCCGCUACAACACCCGAGUUGAGUGGCGCGGAAGGCAAUUAUUGCUAUGUGGUUCACCGAAAGCAGCACAUUUAGAAGGGCCAGCACUAGGCGAACGUUGGAUGAUUUGACAACCGAAUUCCAUUGCAGUAGGUAUGCAACACAGGAAACCCACAAAUACGGCCAAGGCUAAUGUUGCUCUUGAACCAAUAGGUGAAGAG